RNAcentral lists this ribosomal RNA (242 nucleotides) under uncultured bacterium. Its description in RNAcentral is "partial 16S ribosomal RNA". It matches the Rfam family "Bacterial small subunit ribosomal RNA", at positions 15 to 239 of the family's 1533-position model. The record is from RNAcentral.
GAUCAUGGCUCGGGACGAACGCUGGCGUCGCGCCUAACACAUGCAAGUCGAACGGAGAUUACAGGCGGAAGUUUUCGGAUGGAAGCUUGUAAACUUAGUGGCGGACGGGUGAGUAACACGUGAGCAACCUGCCUAUCAGAGGGGGAUAACGAUUGGAAACGAUCGCUAAUACCGCAUGACAUAGCGGAACCGCAUGGUUCUGUUAUCAAAGAUUUUAUCGCUGAUAGAUGGGCUCGCGUCCG